ACGCUGGCGGCAGGCCUAACACAUGCAAGUCGAGCGGUAGCACAGGAGAGCUUGCUCUCUGGGUGACGAGCGGCGGACGGGUGAGUAAUGUCUGGGAAACUGCCUGAUGGAGGGGGAUAACUACUGGAAACGGUAGCUAAUACCGCAUGACCUCGCAAGAGCAAAGUGGGGGACCUUCGGGCCUCACGCCAUCGGAUGUGCCCAGAUGGGAUUAGCUAGUAGGUGAGGUAAUGGCUCACCAAGGCGACGAUCCCUAGCUGGUCUGAGAGGAUGACCAGCCACACUGGAACUGAGACACGGUCCAGACUCCUACGGGAGGCAGCAGUGGGGAAUAUUGCACAAUGGGCGCAAGCCUGAUGCAGCCAUGCCGCGUGUGUGAAGAAGGCCUUAGGGUUGUAAAGCACUUUCAGCGAGGAGGAAGGGUUCAGUGUUAAUAGCACUGAGCAUUGACGUUACUCGCAGAAGAAGCACCGGCUAACUCCGUGCCAGCAGCCGCGGUAAUACGGAGGGUGCAAGCGUUAAUCGGAAUUACUGGGCGUAAAGCGCACGCAGGCGGUUUGUUAAGUCAGAUGUGAAAUCCCCGAGCUUAACUUGGGAACUGCAUUUGAAACUGGCAAGCUAGAGUCUUGUAGAGGGGGGUAGAAUUCCAGGUGUAGCGGUGAAAUGCGUAGAGAUCUGGAGGAAUACCGGUGGCGAAGGCGGCCCCCUGGACAAAGACUGACGCUCAGGUGCGAAAGCGUGGGGAGCAAAC
Molecule: ribosomal RNA, 751 nt
Filed under: uncultured bacterium
Lineage: Bacteria
Description: bacterial SSU rRNA
Rfam family: Bacterial small subunit ribosomal RNA
Source: RNAcentral